GAGUCUGCAACUCGACUCCAUGAAGUCGGAAUCGCUAGUAAUCGUGGAUCAGAAUGCCACGGUGAAUACGUUCCCGGGCCUUGUACACACCGCCCGUCACACCAUGGGAGUGGGUUGCAAAAGAAGUAGGUAGCUUAACCUUCGGGAGGGCGCUUACCACUUUGUGAUUCAUGACUGGGGUGAAGUCGUAACAAGGUAACCGUAGGGGAACCUGCGGUUGGAUCACCUCCUUACCUUAAAGAAGC
This 245-nucleotide ribosomal RNA is filed under the name Escherichia coli. RNAcentral's name for it is "partial 16S ribosomal RNA". It matches the Rfam family "Bacterial small subunit ribosomal RNA", at positions 1301 to 1533 of the family's 1533-position model. The record is from RNAcentral. Lineage: Bacteria; Pseudomonadati; Pseudomonadota; Gammaproteobacteria; Enterobacterales; Enterobacteriaceae.